CGCUGAAGCCCCAGCUUGCUGGGGUGGAUGAGUGGCGAACGGGUGAGUAACACGUGAGUAACCUGCCCAUCACUCUGGGAUAAGCGCUGGAAACGGCGUCUAAUACUGGAUACGAGCAGCGACCGCAUGGUCAGCUGUUGGAAAGACUGGUUCGGUGAUGGAUGGACUCGCGGCCUAUCAGCUUGUUGGUGAGGUAAUGGCUCACCAAGGCGACGACGGGUAGCCGGCCUGAGAGGGUGACCGGCCACACUGGGACUGAGACACGGCCCAGACUCCUACGGGAGGCAGCAGUGGGGAAUAUUGCACAAUGGGCGCAAGCCUGAUGCAGCAACGCCGCGUGAGGGAUGACGGCCUUCGGGUUGUAAACCUCUUUUAGUAGGGAAGAAGCCUUCGGGUGACGGUACCUGCAGAAAAAGCACCGGCUAACUACGUGCCAGCAGCCGCGGUAAUACGUAGGGUGCAAGCGUUGUCCGGAAUUAUUGGGCGUAAAGAGCUCGUAGGCGGCUUGUCGCGUCUGCUGUGAAAACCCGAGGCUCAACCUCGGGCCUGCAGUGGGUACGGGCAAGCUAGAGUGCGGUAGGGGAGAUUGGAAUUCCUGGUGUAGCGGUGGAAUGCGCAGAUAUCAGGAGGAACACCGAUGGCGAAGGCAGAUCUCUGGGCCGUAACUGACGCUGAGGAGCGAAAGCAUGGGGAGCGAACAGGAUUAGAUACCCUGGUAGUCCAUGCCGUAAACGUUGGGAACUAGAUGUAGGGCCUGUUCCACGGGUUCUGUGUCGUAGCUAACGCAUUAAGUUCCCCGCCUGGGGAGUACGGCCGCAAGGCUAAAACUCAAAGGAAUUGACGGGGGCCCGCACAAGCGGCGGAGCAUGCGGAUUAAUUCGAUGCAACGCGAAGAACCUUACCAAGGCUUGACAUAUAGAAGAACGGGUCAGAAAUGAUUCACUCUUUGGACACUUCUAUACAGGUGGUGCAUGGUUGUCGUCAGCUCGUGUCGUGAGAUGUUCGGUUAAGUCCGGCAACGAGCGCAACCCUCGUCCUAUGUUGCCAGCA
RNAcentral lists this ribosomal RNA (1050 nucleotides) under bacterium. RNAcentral describes it as "bacterial SSU rRNA". It matches the Rfam family "Bacterial small subunit ribosomal RNA", at positions 65 to 1123 of the family's 1533-position model. The record is from RNAcentral.